RNAcentral lists this ribosomal RNA (575 nucleotides) under Angulodiscorbis sp. T2. RNAcentral describes it as "bacterial SSU rRNA". It matches the Rfam family "Eukaryotic small subunit ribosomal RNA", at positions 1220 to 1547 of the family's 1831-position model. The record is from RNAcentral. Lineage: Eukaryota; Foraminifera; Rotaliida; Glabratellidae.
GGGUCCGGACACACUGAGGAUUGACAGGCAAAUAAUAUACAUAAACUAUAUUAUAAAUAUGCUAGUCCUUUCAUGAUUAUGUGAUAGGUGGUGCAUGGCCGUUCUUAGUUCGUGGAGUGAUCUGUCUGCUUAAUUGCGUUUCACCAUAGGGUCUAUCAAAUUAAAAAUAGUUACGUAUGUUUAGCGGCGCUUUGACCCCUGUUUCAACAACAGCGCGUGUCUUUGUUAGCUUUUAGCUUAAUCAUACAUUCUAAUAAUAGACUCUGAAAGCAACGAACGUGACCGCAACCUCUUGUUGCCUGGAAACCAAACAAACAAACUAGCCAGGCUUAUAUGCACACACUACUCGUAUGCAUUAAACUAGAGGGACCGCUGUUACUUUCUUAAACCAGAGGAAGGUUGCGGCAAUAACAGGUCUGUGAUGCCCUUAGAUGUUCCGGGCUGCACACGUGCUACAAUGAUCAUUGCAGUGAGCAUCUCAUUUUAAAUUUAUUUACACACCGCUUUGCGUGAGCGAUAUUUAUUUAUCUCUGCGCUCGGAUGAGUGGUAAAGCCUGCUUCGAAAGUAAGUGGGU